RNAcentral lists this ribosomal RNA (242 nucleotides) under uncultured archaeon. Its description in RNAcentral is "partial 16S ribosomal RNA". It matches the Rfam family "Archaeal small subunit ribosomal RNA", at positions 630 to 870 of the family's 1478-position model. The record is from RNAcentral.
CGGUCAAAUGUGUUAAUCCUCGGUGGACUAACAAUGAGCGAAGGCAUCUUACGAGGACGAAUCUGACAGUGAGGGAUGAAGGCCAGGGGCGCAAACCGGAUUAGAUACCCGUGUAGUCCUGGCAGUAAACACUGCUCACUAAACAUUGGGCCCUCUUCGGGAGGAUUCAGUGCUGAAGCGAAGGCGAAGAGUGAGCUACCUGGGAAGUAUAGUCGCAAGAUCGAAACUUAAAGGAAUUGGCG